ACACAUGCAAGUCGCACGGUCGGGCUUCGGCUUGGCAGUGGCGGACGGGUGAGUAACGCGUAGGUAUCUAUCCUUGGGUGGGGGAUAACCGUGGGAAACUACGGCUAAUACCGCAUGACACCUGUGGGUCAAAGGCGCAAGUCGCCUGAGGAGGAGCCUGCGUCCGAUUAGCUAGUUGGUGGGGUAAGGGCCUACCAAGGCGACGAUCGGUAGCUGGUCUGAGAGGAUGAUCAGCCACACUGGGACUGAGACACGGCCCAGACUCCUACGGGAGGCAGCAGUGGGGAAUAUUGGACAAUGGGCGCAAGCCUGAUCCAGCAAUGCCGCGUGGGUGAAGAAGGUUUUCGGAUUGUAAAGCCCUUUCGGCGGGGACGAUGAUGACGGUACCCGCAGAAGAAGCCCCGGCUAACUUCGUGCCAGCAGCCGCGGUAAUACGAAGGGGGCUAGCGUUGCUCGGAAUGACUGGGCGUAAAGGGCGCGUAGGCGGCUCAUACAGUCAGAUGUGAAAUUCCUGGGCUUAACCUGGGCGCUGCAUUUGAUACGUGUGGGCUUGAGUGGGGAAGAGGGUCGUGGAAUUCCCAGUGUAGAGGUGAAAUUCGUAGAUAUUGGGAAGAACACCGGUGGCGAAGGCGGCGACCUGGUCCUUGACUGACGCUGAGGCGCGAAAGCGUGGGGAGCAAACAGGAUUAGAUACCCUGGUAGUCCACGCCGUAAACGAUGUGCGCUGGAUGUUGGGCGGCUUAGCCGUUCAGUGUCGGAGUUAACGCGUUAAGCGCACCGCCUGGGGAGUACGGCCGCAAGGUUGAA
This 807-nucleotide ribosomal RNA is filed under the name uncultured bacterium. RNAcentral's name for it is "bacterial SSU rRNA". It matches the Rfam family "Bacterial small subunit ribosomal RNA", at positions 51 to 898 of the family's 1533-position model. The record is from RNAcentral.